This 253-nucleotide ribosomal RNA is filed under the name uncultured bacterium. RNAcentral's name for it is "partial 16S ribosomal RNA". It matches the Rfam family "Bacterial small subunit ribosomal RNA", at positions 524 to 776 of the family's 1533-position model. The record is from RNAcentral.
UACGUAGGGUGCAAGCGUUGUCCGGAAUUAUUGGGCGUAAAGAGCUCGUAGGCGGUUUGUUGCGUCGGCUGUGAAAUCCCGAGGCUCAACCUCGGGUCUGCAGUCGAUACGAGCAAACUAGAGUGUUGCAGGGGAGACUGGAAUUCCUGGUGUAGCGGUGAAAUGCGCAGAUAUCAAGAGGAACACCGGUGGCGAAGGCGGGUCUCUGGGCAACAACUGACGCUGAGGAGCGAAAGCGUGGGGAGCGAACAGG